This 76-nucleotide transfer RNA is filed under the name Candidatus Magasanikbacteria bacterium CG10_big_fil_rev_8_21_14_0_10_36_32. RNAcentral describes it as "tRNA-Ala". It matches the Rfam family "tRNA". From Rfam's summary of the family: Transfer RNA (tRNA) molecules are approximately 80 nucleotides in length. Their secondary structure includes four short double-helical elements and three loops (D, anti-codon, and T loops). The record is from RNAcentral. Lineage: Bacteria; Candidatus Magasanikiibacteriota.
GGGCCUGUAGCUCAUCUGGUAGAGCGCAGCAUUCGCAUUGCUGAGGUAAGGGGUUCGAGUCCCCUCAGGUCCACUA